Molecule: non-coding RNA, 73 nt
Organism: Colinus virginianus (northern bobwhite)
Lineage: Eukaryota; Metazoa; Chordata; Aves; Galliformes; Odontophoridae
Source: Rfam
GCCCAGCUAGCCCAGUCAGUAGAGCAUGAGACUCUUAAUCUCAGGGUCAUGGGUUCCUGCCCCAUGCUGGAUG